GAUGGUGCUUGCACCUGAUUGAUUUGGGUCGCCAACGAGUGGCGGACGGGUGAGUAACACGUAGGUAACCUGCCCAGAAGCGGGGGACAACAUUUGGAAACAGAUGCUAAUACCGCAUAACAACGUUGUUCGCAUGAACAACGCUUAAAAGAUGGCUUCUCGCUAUCACUUCUGGAUGGACCUGCGGUGCAUUAGCUUGUUGGUGGGGUAACGGCCUACCAAGGCGAUGAUGCAUAGCCGAGUUGAGAGACUGAUCGGCCACAAUGGGACUGAGACACGGCCCAUACUCCUACGGGAGGCAGCAGUAGGGAAUCUUCCACAAUGGGCGCAAGCCUGAUGGAGCAACACCGCGUGAGUGAAGAAGGGUUUCGGCUCGUAAAGCUCUGUUGUUAAAGAAGAACACGUAUGAGAGUAACUGUUCAUACGUUGACGGUAUUUAACCAGAAAGUCACGGCUAACUACGUGCCAGCAGCCGCGGUAAUACGUAGGUGGCAAGCGUUAUCCGGAUUUAUUGGGCGUAAAGAGAGUGCAGGCGGUUUUCUAAGUCUGAUGUGAAAGCCUUCGGCUUAACCGGAGAAGUGCAUCGG
RNAcentral lists this ribosomal RNA (587 nucleotides) under Limosilactobacillus fermentum. Its description in RNAcentral is "bacterial SSU rRNA". It matches the Rfam family "Bacterial small subunit ribosomal RNA", at positions 65 to 629 of the family's 1533-position model. The record is from RNAcentral. Lineage: Bacteria; Bacillati; Bacillota; Bacilli; Lactobacillales; Lactobacillaceae.